CUGAUGCAGCCAUGCCGCGUGUAUGAAGAAGGCCUUCGGGUUGUAAAGUACUUUCAGUUGUGAGGAAGGGUGUGUAGUUAAUAGCUGCGCAUCUUGACGUUAGCAACAGAAGAAGCACCGGCUAACUCCGUGCCAGCAGCCGCGGUAAUACGGAGGGUGCGAGCGUUAAUCGGAAUUACUGGGCGUAAAGCGCAUGCAGGUGGUUCAUUAAGUCAGAUGUGAAAGCCCGGGGCUCAACCUCGGAACUGCAUUUGAAACUGGUGAACUAGAGUGCUGUAGAGGGGGGUAGAAUUUCAGGUGUAGCGGUGAAAUGCGUAGAGAUCUGAAGGAAUACCAGUGGCGAAGGCGGCCCCCUGGACAGACACUGACACUCAGAUGCGAAAGCGUGGGGAGCAAACAGGAUUAGAUACCCUGGUAGUCCACGCCGUAAACGAUGUCUACUUGGAGGUUGUGGCCUUGAGCCGUGGCUUUCGGAGCUAACGCGUUAAGUAGACCGCCUGGGGAGUACGGUCGCAAGAUUAAAACUCAAAUGAAUUGACGGGGGCCCGCACAAGCGGUGGAGCAUGG
This 567-nucleotide ribosomal RNA is filed under the name Vibrio sp. V-RA-3. RNAcentral's name for it is "bacterial SSU rRNA". It matches the Rfam family "Bacterial small subunit ribosomal RNA", at positions 383 to 942 of the family's 1533-position model. The record is from RNAcentral. Lineage: Bacteria; Pseudomonadati; Pseudomonadota; Gammaproteobacteria; Vibrionales; Vibrionaceae.